This 393-nucleotide ribosomal RNA is filed under the name uncultured bacterium. RNAcentral describes it as "partial 16S ribosomal RNA". It matches the Rfam family "Bacterial small subunit ribosomal RNA", at positions 523 to 918 of the family's 1533-position model. The record is from RNAcentral.
AUACGGAGGAUGCAAGCGUUAUCCGGAUUUAUUGGGUUUAAAGGGUGCGCAGGCGGCGCGUUAAGUCAGUGGUGAAAUGUCCCGGCUCAACCGGGGAACUGCCGCUGAUACUGACGUGCUCGAGUACGGACGGCGCCGGCGGAAUGUGUCAUGUAGCGGUGAAAUGCUUAGAUAUGCCACAGAACACCGAUCGCGAAGGCAGCUGGCGAGGCCGGUACUGACGCUCAGGCACGAAAGCGUGGGGAUCAAACAGGAUUAGAUACCCUGGUAGUCCACGCAGUAAACGAUGAGGACUUGUUGUCGGCGAUAGAGUGUCGGUGACAAAGCGAAAGCGAUAAGUCCUCCACCUGGGGAGUACGAUCGCAAGGUUGAAACUCAAAGGAAUUGACGGGG